RNAcentral lists this ribosomal RNA (259 nucleotides) under uncultured bacterium. Its description in RNAcentral is "partial small subunit ribosomal RNA". It matches the Rfam family "Bacterial small subunit ribosomal RNA", at positions 26 to 285 of the family's 1533-position model. The record is from RNAcentral.
AGGACGAACGCUGGCGGCGUGCUUAACACAUGCAAGUCGAGCGAGGCCCUUCCUUCGGGAAGGUGCCCUAGCGGCGAACGGGUGAGUAACACGUGGGCAACCUGCCCCUAGCACUGGGAUAACUCCGGGAAACCGGGGCUAAUACCGGAUACGACCUCUGAGGGCAUCCUCGGGAGGUGGAAAGCAUUGUGGCUAGGGAUGGGCCCGCGGCCUAUCAGCUUGUUGGUGAGGUAACGGCCCACCAAGGCGACGACGGGUA